RNAcentral lists this ribosomal RNA (554 nucleotides) under Apiospora sacchari. Its description in RNAcentral is "eukaryotic LSU rRNA". It matches the Rfam family "Eukaryotic large subunit ribosomal RNA", at positions 76 to 653 of the family's 3401-position model. The record is from RNAcentral. Lineage: Eukaryota; Fungi; Ascomycota; Sordariomycetes; Amphisphaeriales; Apiosporaceae.
UUCCCUAGUAACGGCGAGUGAAGCGGGAACAGCUCAAAUUUGAAAUCUGGCCCUUGGGUCCGAGUUGUAAUUUGCAGAGGAUGCUUUUGGUGCGGUGCCUUCCGAGUUCCCUGGAACGGGACGCCUUAGAGGGUGAGAGCCCCGUACGGUUGGACACCAAGCCUAUGUAAAGCUCCUUCGACGAGUCGAGUAGUUUGGGAAUGCUGCUCAAAAUGGGAGGUAUAUUUCUUCUAAAGCUAAAUAUUGGCCAGAGACCGAUAGCGCACAAGUAGAGUGAUCGAAAGAUGAAAAGCACUUUGAAAAGAGGGUUAAAUAGCACGUGAAAUUGUUGAAAGGGAAGGAUUUAUGACCAGACUUUUUCUAGGGGGAUCAUCCGGUGUUCUCACCGGUGCACUUCCCCUAGUUGAGGCCAGCAUCGGUUUCUGUCGGGGGAUAAAAGCUUUAGGAAUGUGGCUCCCUCCGGGGAGUGUUAUAGCCUGUUGCAUAAUACCCUGACGGGGACCGAGGUUCGCGCAUUGCAAGGAUGCUGGCGUAAUGGUUAUUAAUCACCCGUC